AGCAAUUCUGACCAGUUUUGUAUUUGACACAGAGCAACGUGCACUUGCAGAUGCGAAAGCCUGCCACAUUCAUAGCCCCUGAGACCCAUGCUUCUCUGAUAAAAAGCCUCUGUGAACAGCUCACAGCAGCAUCCCUUUAUAUUCCUGUGUCUGGACAUUGUUGAACAACUCCACGGGGGCUGAGCCUGAGAGCUGCCUCCAAGAGGAUGGGCUUCCAUGAGAUGAAUCCAUUUCACUGGGAUCUGAUGGGCACGGCUUGGUGGACAUCUAAGUGCAGAGGGAAAGGACAGAAUAUACUCAGCUGUAUACUUGAUCCACAGGACAUCAGAAAGGAAUGCUCCUAUCCUCCUGUCAGCAUCCUCUGUGCUGGCUGCCUACAGAUGUCAGCCAUCUGCCUGUCACAUGCGCACAGUGAAUGGGAGGCUGCAGCCACAGUGCCCUGAAUUUGGCAGCCCUGCUGCUGCCAGCAGAAAGCUGCAAACAGUGAGUACAUGUGGAGAGCUCCAAGCCCC
Long non-coding RNA from Gallus gallus (chicken), 512 nucleotides. The record is from Ensembl. NCBI's taxonomy places the organism in Eukaryota, Metazoa, Chordata, Aves, Galliformes, Phasianidae.